RNAcentral lists this ribosomal RNA (497 nucleotides) under uncultured bacterium. RNAcentral describes it as "partial 16S ribosomal RNA". It matches the Rfam family "Bacterial small subunit ribosomal RNA", at positions 28 to 507 of the family's 1533-position model. The record is from RNAcentral.
GAUGAACGCUGGCGGCGUGCCUAAUACAUGCAAGUCGAGCGAACAGACGAGGAGCUUGCUCUUCUGACGUUAGCGGCUGACGGGUGAGUAACACGUGGAUAACCUACCUAUAAGACUGGGAUAACUUCGGGAAACCGGAGCUAAUACCAGAUAAUAUAUUGAACCGCAUGGUUCAAUAGUGAAAGACGGUUUUGCUGUCACUUAUAGAUGGAUCCGCGCCGCAUUAGCUAGUUGGUAAGGUAACGGCUUACCAAGGCAACGAUGCGUAGCCGACCUGAGAGGGUGAUCGGCCACACUGGAACUGAGACACGGUCCAGACUCCUACGGGAGGCAGCAGUAGGGAAUCUUCCGCAAUGGGCGAAAGCCUGACGGAGCAACGCCGCGUGAGUGAUGAAGGUCUUCGGAUCGUAAAGCUCUGUUGUUGGGGAAGAACAAAUGUGUAAGUAACCAUGCACGUCUUGACGGUACCUAAACAGAAAGCCACGGCUAACUACGUG